This 73-nucleotide transfer RNA is filed under the name Cyclobacteriaceae bacterium. RNAcentral's name for it is "tRNA-Gln". It matches the Rfam family "tRNA". Rfam says of the family: Transfer RNA (tRNA) molecules are approximately 80 nucleotides in length. Their secondary structure includes four short double-helical elements and three loops (D, anti-codon, and T loops). RNAcentral also lists the same sequence under 1 other name. The record is from RNAcentral. Lineage: Bacteria; Pseudomonadati; Bacteroidota; Cytophagia; Cytophagales; Cyclobacteriaceae.
UGCCCGAUGGUGUAACUGGCAACACGCUUGAUUUUGAUUCAAGAAAGUCUAGGUUCGAGCCCUAGUCGGGCAA